AGCGAACGCUGGCGGCAGGCUUAACACAUGCAAGUCGAACGGGCGUAGCAAUACGUCAGUGGCAGACGGGUGAGUAACGCGUGGGAACGUACCUUUUGGUUCGGAACAACCCAGGGAAACUUGGGCUAAUACCGGAUAAGCCCUUACGGGGAAAGAUUUAUCGCCGAAAGAUCGGCCCGCGUCUGAUUAGCUAGUUGGUGUGGUAACGGCGCACCAAGGCGACGAUCAGUAGCUGGUCUGAGAGGAUGAUCAGCCACAUUGGGACUGAGACACGGCCCAAACUCCUACGGGAGGCAGCAGGUGGGGAAUAUUGGACAAUGGGCGCAAGCCUGAUCCAGCCAUGCCGCGUGUGUGAAGAAGGUCUUC
RNAcentral lists this ribosomal RNA (366 nucleotides) under uncultured bacterium. Its description in RNAcentral is "bacterial SSU rRNA". It matches the Rfam family "Bacterial small subunit ribosomal RNA", at positions 29 to 419 of the family's 1533-position model. The record is from RNAcentral.